RNAcentral lists this small nuclear RNA (24 nucleotides) under Arabidopsis thaliana (thale cress). RNAcentral's name for it is "snRNA_09457". The record is from RNAcentral. Lineage: Eukaryota; Viridiplantae; Streptophyta; Magnoliopsida; Brassicales; Brassicaceae.
GUGUUCCCAUGUCGUCUUCUGUUG